Molecule: long non-coding RNA, 529 nt
Filed under: Cyanistes caeruleus (blue tit)
Lineage: Eukaryota; Metazoa; Chordata; Aves; Passeriformes; Paridae
Description: lncRNA (ENSCCEG00000006766.1)
Source: RNAcentral
AUGAUUUCCUUACUAAUUCCUAGAGAAUGGAAGUUGGCUCGAGUACUGAGUCAUGAGGAUUUCAUCUCAAUACAGAUAUUUUUAGUAUCUGUUAUUUUAUCUUGGGUACUUUUAAAAUCUGUAUCACUGCCCAACUCCUCUCCUAAUUAUCUGAAAUUCUUUUCUUCUGUAACAGCUUUGGAAUGUGCCCUUCUAUUAUUACAAAUACUGGCUGCAUUAGAUUGGGUCCAAACUGCUCAUCCAUCGAUUGAUUUAGGUCACACCAUGGAGGAGCAGCCAAGCAGCUGGAGACUGUCCAAUGGCCACACUCCACCCCAAGUAUUUUCUGAGAUGAGAAAAUUACCCUUUGGCUGCUUCUCAACUUGCUUUUCUUGGGCUGAUCUUUUGAAUCCAAAUUAGAAGAUGAUGGGCCAAGCGAUAACGCCUGCGCUGCUGUCGCUGCAUUUGCCUGCUACCAGCUCCAACAUCAAGCAAAUUUUGACCCUGGAUAGGGAAUAAACCCCUCUGGCAGGGUGUGUAAGAGAAGAAA